Molecule: ribosomal RNA, 442 nt
Filed under: uncultured bacterium
Lineage: Bacteria
Description: bacterial SSU rRNA
Rfam family: Bacterial small subunit ribosomal RNA
Source: RNAcentral
CCUACGGGGGGCAGCAGUGGGGAAUUUUCCGCAAUGGGCGAAAGCCUGACGGAGCAAUACCGCGUGAGGGACGACGGCUUUUGGGUUGUAAACCUCUUUUCCCUGGGAAGAAGAUCUGACGGUACCAGGGGAAUCAGCAUCGGCUAACUUCGUGCCAGCAGCCGCGGUAAUACGAGGGAUGCAAGCGUUAUCCGGAAUUAUUGGGCGUAAAGCGUCCGCAGGUGGCUCUGUAAGUCUGUCGUUAAAGAAUGGGGCUCAACCCCAUACAGGCGAUGGAAACUACAAGGCUAGAGUUUGGUAGGGGUCACGGGAAUUCUUAGUGUAGCGGUGAAAUGCGUAGAUAUUAAGAAGAACACCAGCGGCGAAAGCGCGUGACUGGGCCAGUACUGACACUCAUGGACGAAAGCUAGGGGAGCGAAAGGGAUUAGAUACCCGGGUAGUC